This 459-nucleotide ribosomal RNA is filed under the name uncultured bacterium. RNAcentral describes it as "partial 16S ribosomal RNA". It matches the Rfam family "Bacterial small subunit ribosomal RNA", at positions 338 to 795 of the family's 1533-position model. The record is from RNAcentral.
CCUACGGGAGGCUGCAGUGAGGAAUAUUGGUCAAUGGCCGAGAGGCUGAACCAGCCAAGUCGCGUGAGGGAAGAAUGUCCUAUGGAUUGUAAACCUCUUUUGUCAGGGAGCAAAGUCACCCACGUGUGGGUGUUGGAGAGUACCUGAAGAAAAAGCAUCGGCUAACUCCGUGCCAGCAGCCGCGGUAAUACGGAGGCUGCGAUCGUUAUCCGGAUUUAUUGGGUUUAAAGGGUGAGUAGGCGGGUUAUCAAGUCAGCGGUAAAAUCGUGGAGCUCAACUCCAUCCAGCCGUUGAAACUGAUGAUCUUGAGUGGGCGAGAAGUAUGCGGAAUGCGUGGUGUAGCGGUGAAAUGCAUAGAGAUCACGCAGAACCCCGAUUGCGAAGGCAGCCUUCCGGCGCCCUACUGACGCUGAGGCACGAAAGUGCGGGGAUCGAACAGGAUUAGAUACCCGGGUAGUC